CUAGGGUUUUCGGAAUGGAGUAUUUGUGGGGUCCAUGGUGGGCCGGGCUGACGUGGUGUGCUUGCCCGGACACGUUCGGGAUCCCCAUAUCCACCCCAUAUUUGGGCUGGAUAUUAGGGGUGCUGUUAAGGUCGGGCAUUUGAGGUCCGUUUAGGACGUCCACCUGGGUCGAUUUUUCCUAACCGGGUGCUGACCGGACGGCCUGUGCGGGCGUUUGGGAUGGGUAUAAGAGGUCCGCUAUAGAUGCUCUUAUGAUUGUUUAGUACGUUGUUAUUCUAUGGUGAGCGCAAUGCAUGUUUUUCAAUUUAAGGACCCAGACGACAAGAUCUAAAUAUUGUUUAGAGAACCCGCAUCUUUAGAUGACACGUGGAGAUAUUUACGAUGAACAAAGAAAAUAAGAGAUAACAGCGAACCACGAAGCAUAAUGCAUGGCUCGAGUUUAAUGACCUUAGUUGUGAAGGUCAUUUUAUACCCAUGGGUAGUACCCGUAUCCUACCCAUUAAGUCAUAGAU
This 512-nucleotide long non-coding RNA is filed under the name Hordeum vulgare. Its description in RNAcentral is "long non-coding RNA (HVUL_LNC006711)". Lineage: Eukaryota; Viridiplantae; Streptophyta; Magnoliopsida; Poales; Poaceae. The record is from RNAcentral.